RNAcentral lists this long non-coding RNA (1333 nucleotides) under Monodelphis domestica (gray short-tailed opossum). RNAcentral's name for it is "lncRNA (ENSMODG00000050707.1)". The record is from RNAcentral. Lineage: Eukaryota; Metazoa; Chordata; Mammalia; Didelphimorphia; Didelphidae.
AUGUUUGCAGCUCAACGAUGUUUCCCAGCAUGCCAUUUUAAGGAAAGAAGAUUUCCUUGUAACCCCUUCCAAUCUGAACAGCCCGGCUGCCUUCCAGGAAGACGUUCCUGGCUAUUUGGAGCCAUCUGGCAGAUGGCUGCUUUGGUUCACAUCUUUUUCUUGGUGGUUUCAGAGAGAAGACUCCUCCUGGGAACCUUCACGUGUGACUGCAGGAAGCAGAUCCAUUUGCAUUUGCCUGACCUGAUGGGGAAGCACAUGGAAGAUGGCAUCGAAGGAUAUGGGCUCUCCCUAGUGCUGGAAGCAAUGAGAUCAGGAUUUCAGGGCUGCAUCUGAGGCCACGAAGUAGCUCGGCCCAUAUUUGACAGGAUGUGAGAAACGUCGACAUCUGUGCCCUUCGGUGCUUGGUAAGAAUAAGGCCUGAAGAGGUUUCGUUCCUUCAGCCGGCAGUGAGAUGAGGAAUGUCAAGCAUUUGGGAAAACUGCAAAGUGUUAUUUUGUGAAUGUCAGUUCCCAGAAUCCCGAGUCAGAAGGGACUUGAAGGCCAAGCCCAGGGGCCCUCCCCGCCAGUGGUUAUCUGGAUGGCCUUGGUUUGAAGGCCGUCCGCCAAGCUCCCGUGUCCUUCUGGGGAGUGGGGAUGAUGGUAAUAAUAAUAAUGAUGAUGAUAAUUUGCUUACUCUAGAGAAGCACAGAAUGAAGAUCCAAAUUGAAAGGGCUUCAGAGGGACCCAGGAAGUAAGUAGCUGCCUUGAAGAUCUUCCAAGAAAACGUGGGCCUAUUUCCAGUGGCCUCCCUGGCGUAGCUACUUCUACUUCCGCUGGGAUGGCCAUUGUACGGAGCUCUGAUUUCAGAGCUAAGCCUGGUCUCUCUCCGUCUCUCUGUCAUUGUUGAGAUAAUAGCAAAAUGACUGGACCUCCCAGAUCCUCCUCUAAAAAACGAAGUGAAUCCAGAUCAUCGCUAAUGGAAUUUUUUAAAAUUUAAAUUUAAAUUAAAUGCACUGCAUGCUAAGCACAGCCCUAAGCUCUGGGAGUCAGUCCCUGCCCUCCAGAGGCUUCCCUUCGAAAUAAGAGUCACUUCUCAAAGGCCAGCAGCUGGUCAAGGCUCCAGAGCCUUGGUUAGCAAAGGCAGGACGGAUGGUCCCUGGCCAGAGUCAGUAGAGCAGGGUUCGAGGGUUUUGGCAGAGGUGCAGAAGGGAAGGGUUUUCCAAGGCCUGCUUCUGAUGGGAAGUGAUCUGGGAAGGUGGAAAGGCUUCUGCAUCUCCUUCUAGCUCUUAACCUAAGGUCUUGUGUGAUCAUUUAGCAGAGGAAGAAGUCUGGAGGAGCUUCAGGUAGGUUAAAC